GGGCGGUUAGUUCAGUUGGUAGAACACGCCAGACUCCCGCAAGGGAGAGGCCAUGGUCCGCGGUUCGAGUCCGCGACCGCCCGCUA
RNAcentral lists this transfer RNA (86 nucleotides) under Bacteroides ovatus. Its description in RNAcentral is "tRNA-OTHER". It matches the Rfam family "tRNA". From Rfam's summary of the family: Transfer RNA (tRNA) molecules are approximately 80 nucleotides in length. Their secondary structure includes four short double-helical elements and three loops (D, anti-codon, and T loops). Lineage: Bacteria; Pseudomonadati; Bacteroidota; Bacteroidia; Bacteroidales; Bacteroidaceae. The record is from RNAcentral. RNAcentral also lists the same sequence under 1 other name.